UACGGAGGGUGCAAGCGUUAUCCGGAUUCACUGGGUUUAAAGGGUGCGUAGGUGGGCAGGUAGGUCAGUGGUGAAAUCUCUGGGCUUAACCCGGAACUGCCGUUGAUACUAUCUGUCUUGAAUGUAGUGGAGGUGAGCGGAAUAUGUCAUGUAGCGGUGAAAUGCUUAGAUAUGACAUAGAACAUCGAUUGCGAAGGCAGCUCGCUACACUAUGAUUGACACUGAGGCACGAAAGCGUGGGGGAUCAAACAGG
RNAcentral lists this ribosomal RNA (253 nucleotides) under uncultured bacterium. Its description in RNAcentral is "partial 16S ribosomal RNA". It matches the Rfam family "Bacterial small subunit ribosomal RNA", at positions 524 to 776 of the family's 1533-position model. The record is from RNAcentral.